This 363-nucleotide ribosomal RNA is filed under the name uncultured bacterium. RNAcentral's name for it is "partial 16S ribosomal RNA". It matches the Rfam family "Bacterial small subunit ribosomal RNA", at positions 338 to 699 of the family's 1533-position model. The record is from RNAcentral.
CCUACGGGCGGCAGCAGUGAGGAAUAUUGGUCAAUGGGCGGAAGCCUGAACCAGCCAAGUAGCGUGCGGGAUGAAGGCCCUACGGGUCGUAAACCGCUUUUGCACGGGGAUAACACCCUCCACUUGUGGAGGUCUGCAGGUACCGUGCGAAUAAGGGCCGGCUAAUUCGGGGCCAGCAGCCGCGGUAAUACGGAGGGCCGGAGCGUUAUCUGGAUUCAGUGGGCUUAAAGGGAGCGUAGGCGGGCGGUCAGGUCAGCUGUAAACUCGCGCGGCUAAACCGCGCCCCGCAGUUGAAACUGGCAGCCUUGAGUUCACAACAGGCGGGCGGAAUUCGUGGUGUAGCGGUGAAAUGCAUAGAUAUCA